This 296-nucleotide unclassified non-coding RNA is filed under the name uncultured Capnodiales. RNAcentral describes it as "sequence contains ITS1". The stretch from base 1 to 105 matches the Rfam family "5.8S ribosomal RNA", at positions 50 to 154 of the family's 154-position model. The record is from RNAcentral. Lineage: Eukaryota; Fungi; Ascomycota; Dothideomycetes; Capnodiales.
GAAAUGCGAUAAGUCAUGUGAAUUGCAGAAUUCAGUGGAUCAUCGAAUCUUUGAACGCACAUUGCGCCCGCUUGUAUUCCGGGGGGCAUGCCUGUUCGAGCGUCAUUUCACCACUCAAGCCUCGCUUGGUAUUGGGCAUCGCGGUCCGCCGCGUGCCUCAAAUCGACCGGCUGGGUCUUCUGUCCCCUAAGCGUUGUGGAAACUAUUCGCUAAAGGGUGUUCGGGAGACUACGCCGUAAAACACCCGCAUUUCUAAGGUUUACCUCGGAUCAGGUAGGGAUACCCGCUGAACUUAA